AUUUUUAUAGUGUAUUAACACGUUACAUUUUCGUUGUAAAAAAGAAAUUUAAUUUUUCUAAAAAUU
RNAcentral lists this transfer RNA (66 nucleotides) under Calappa bilineata. Its description in RNAcentral is "tRNA-Glu". The record is from RNAcentral. Lineage: Eukaryota; Metazoa; Arthropoda; Malacostraca; Decapoda; Calappidae.